UGUGCAGCCUCAUGGAGCGAGUGACGGAGUGGGUUGCCAACUUGUAGUGACUCCACUCAGCAGCGCAGAAUGGCUGCGGGAAAUGUGUAUUCAGAUAAGCCCAAAGAAGUCUGCCCAGGGUGAAACAAGUACCUUUGAAGU
Bison bison bison is the source of this 141-nucleotide unclassified non-coding RNA. Lineage: Eukaryota; Metazoa; Chordata; Mammalia; Artiodactyla; Bovidae. The record is from Ensembl.